Molecule: transfer RNA, 73 nt
Filed under: Planctomycetaceae bacterium
Lineage: Bacteria; Pseudomonadati; Planctomycetota; Planctomycetia; Planctomycetales; Planctomycetaceae
Also listed under: 2 other names
Description: tRNA-Val
Rfam family: tRNA
About the family: Transfer RNA (tRNA) molecules are approximately 80 nucleotides in length. Their secondary structure includes four short double-helical elements and three loops (D, anti-codon, and T loops).
Source: RNAcentral
GGUCCCGUGGCUCAGCGGCAAGAGCAGCUGCCUUACAAGCAGACAAUCGGUGGUUCGAGUCCACCCGGGACUA